UACGGAGGGUGCAAGCGUUAAUCGGAAUUACUGGGCGUAAAGCGCACGCAGGCGGUUUGUUAAGUCAGAUGUGAAAUCCCCGGGCUCAACCUGGGAACUGCAUCUGAUACUGGCAAGCUUGAGUCUCGUAGAGGGGGGUAGAAUUCCAGGUGUAGCGGUGAAAUGCGUAGAGAUCUGGAGGAAUACCGGUGGCGAAGGCGGCCCCCUGGACGAAGGCUGAAGGUUGGGGUGGAAAG
Molecule: ribosomal RNA, 236 nt
Filed under: uncultured bacterium
Lineage: Bacteria
Description: partial 16S ribosomal RNA
Rfam family: Bacterial small subunit ribosomal RNA
Source: RNAcentral